ACGAACGCUGGCGGCGUGGCUAAGGCAUGCAAGUCGAACGGACAUGUUCCAAGGGCAACUGCGGGACAUGUUAGUGGCGAACUGGUGAGGAAUUACAUGAAUAACGUACCCUGGACUCGGGGAUAGCGGCGGGGGCAACCCCUUUGCGAAAGUGCCGGUAAUACCCGAUGACCCCGUGGGGCCGCAUGGCCCUGCGGGCAAAGGUUUACCGGUCUGGGAUCGGUUCAUGUCCUAUCAGCUAGUUGGUGAGGUAACGGCUCACCAAGGCAUCGACGGGUACCGGGCAUGAGAGUGCGGCCCGGCACAUCGGCACUGAGAUACUGGCCGGACACCUACGGGUGGCUGCAGCAACGAAUAUUCCGCAAUGGACGCAAGUCUGACGGAGCGACGCCGCGUGCAGGAAGAAGUCCCUCGGGAUGUAAACUGCUGUCAGGGGCUGGAAACAUUGAUCGGCCCCAGAGGAAGCACCGGCUAACUCCGU
Molecule: ribosomal RNA, 481 nt
Filed under: uncultured bacterium
Lineage: Bacteria
Description: bacterial SSU rRNA
Rfam family: Bacterial small subunit ribosomal RNA
Source: RNAcentral